AUUCGCUAGUAAUCGCGCAUCAGCCACGGCGCGGUGAAUACGUUCCCGGGCCUUGUACACACCGCCCGUCAAGCCAUGGAAGCCGGGAGUGCCUGAAGUGCGUGACCGCAAGGAGCGUCCUAAGGCAAUACCGGUGACUGGGGCUAAGUCGUAACAAGGUAUC
Molecule: ribosomal RNA, 163 nt
Filed under: uncultured bacterium
Lineage: Bacteria
Description: partial 16S ribosomal RNA
Rfam family: Bacterial small subunit ribosomal RNA
Source: RNAcentral